This 435-nucleotide ribosomal RNA is filed under the name uncultured Flavobacterium sp. RNAcentral's name for it is "bacterial SSU rRNA". It matches the Rfam family "Bacterial small subunit ribosomal RNA", at positions 358 to 790 of the family's 1533-position model. The record is from RNAcentral. Lineage: Bacteria; Pseudomonadati; Bacteroidota; Flavobacteriia; Flavobacteriales; Flavobacteriaceae.
GGAAUAUUGGACAAUGGGCGCAAGCCUGAUCCAGCCAUGCCGCGUGCAGGAUGACGGUCCUAUGGAUUGUAAACUGCUUUUGUACAGGAAGAAACACUGGUUCGUGAACCAGCUUGACGGUACUGUAAGAAUAAGGAUCGGCUAACUCCGUGCCAGCAGCCGCGGUAAUACGGAGGAUCCAAGCGUUAUCCGGAAUCAUUGGGUUUAAAGGGUCCGUAGGCGGUCUUGUAAGUCAGUGGUGAAAGCCCAUCGCUCAACGGUGGAACGGCCAUUGAUACUGCAGGACUUGAAUUAUUAGGAAGUAACUAGAAUAUGUAGUGUAGCGGUGAAAUGCUUAGAGAUUACAUGGAAUACCAAUUGCGAAGGCAGGUUACUACUAAUUGAUUGACGCUGAUGGACGAAAGCGUGGGUAGCGAACAGGAUUAGAUACCCCGG